This 460-nucleotide ribosomal RNA is filed under the name uncultured bacterium. Its description in RNAcentral is "partial 16S ribosomal RNA". It matches the Rfam family "Bacterial small subunit ribosomal RNA", at positions 338 to 795 of the family's 1533-position model. The record is from RNAcentral.
CCUACGGGGUGCAGCAGUGAGGAAUAUUGGUCAAUGGACGAGAGUCUGAACCAGCCAAGUAGCGUGAAGGAUGACUGCCCUAUGGGUUGUAAACUUCUUUUAUAUGGGAAUAAAAUGUUCCACGUGUGGGAUUUUGUAUGUACCAUAUGAAUAAGGAUCGGCUAACUCCGUGCCAGCAGCCGCGGUAAUACGGAGGAUCCGAGCGUUAUCCGGAUUUAUUGGGUUGAAAGGGAGCGGAGGUGGAUUGUUAAGUCCGUUGUGAAAGUUUGCGGCUCAACCGUAAAAUUGCAGUUGAAACUGGCAGUCUUGAGUACAGUAGAGGUGGGCGGAAUUCGUGGUGUAGCGGUGAAAUGCUUAGAUAUCACGAAGAACUCCGAUUGCGAAGGCAGUUCACUGGACUGCAACUGACACUGAGGCUCGAAAGUGUGGGUAUCAAACAGGAUUAGAUACCCUUGUAGUC